Molecule: microRNA, 22 nt
Filed under: Eisenia fetida (common brandling worm)
Lineage: Eukaryota; Metazoa; Annelida; Clitellata; Crassiclitellata; Lumbricidae
Description: Efe-Mir-1996-P3_3p* (star (passenger))
Source: RNAcentral
CCGCUCUUGUCGCGCUUGACAC